This 216-nucleotide ribosomal RNA is filed under the name Glomeromycotina sp. RNAcentral describes it as "partial small subunit ribosomal RNA". The stretch from base 40 to 216 matches the Rfam family "Eukaryotic small subunit ribosomal RNA", at positions 686 to 864 of the family's 1831-position model. Lineage: Eukaryota; Fungi; Glomeromycota. The record is from RNAcentral.
GGGUCAGUAGGUUGGUCGUGCCACCGGUACGUACUGGUCUCACUGAUUCCUCCUUCCUGAAGAACCGUAAUGCCAUUAAUUUGGUGUCGCGGGGAAACAGGACUGUUACUUUGAAAAAUUUAGAGUGUUUAAAGCAAGCUAACGCUUGAAUACAUUAGCAUGGAAUAAUGAAAUAGGACGAUCGAUCCUAUUUUGUUGGUUUCUAGGAUUGACGUA